CCUACGGGUGACAGCAGUGGGGAAUAUUGGGCAAUGGGCGCAAGCCUGACCCAGCAACGCCGCGUGAAGGAAGAAGGCUCUCGGGUUGUAAACCUCCUUUCUCAGGGACGAAGCAAGUGACGGUACCUGCGGAAUAAGCCACGGCUAACUACGUGCCAGCAGCCGCGGCAAUACGGAGGUGGCAAGCGUUAUCCGGAUUUACUGGGUGUAAAGGGCGUGUAGGCGGGGACGGAAGUCAGAUGUGAAAACCCCGGGCUCAACCUGUGGCCUGCAUUUGAAACUGUGUUUCUUGAGUACUGGGGAGGCAGGCGGAAUUCCUGGUGUAGCGGUGAAAUGCGUAGAUAUUAGGAGGAACACCAGUGGCGAAGGCAGUCUGCUGGACAGCAACUGACGCUGAGGCGCGAAAGCGUGGGGAGCAAACAGGAUUAGAUACCCCUGUAGUC
RNAcentral lists this ribosomal RNA (443 nucleotides) under uncultured bacterium. Its description in RNAcentral is "partial 16S ribosomal RNA". It matches the Rfam family "Bacterial small subunit ribosomal RNA", at positions 338 to 795 of the family's 1533-position model. The record is from RNAcentral.